RNAcentral lists this small nuclear RNA (167 nucleotides) under Chinchilla lanigera (long-tailed chinchilla). RNAcentral's name for it is "U4 spliceosomal RNA (ENSCLAG00000020494.1)". The stretch from base 1 to 130 matches the Rfam family "U4 spliceosomal RNA". Rfam says of the family: U4 small nuclear RNA (U4 snRNA) is a component of the major U2-dependent spliceosome. The structure of U4 snRNA from yeast and human has been reported. The record is from RNAcentral. Lineage: Eukaryota; Metazoa; Chordata; Mammalia; Rodentia; Chinchillidae.
AGCUUUGUGCAGUGGCAGUAUUGCAGUCAGUGGGGUUUAUCUGAAGCACGAUUAUUGCUAACUGAAAACUAUUUUGAGAUAAAGUCUCAGACAGUUGCCUAGACUGGGCUGGAACUUGCAAUCCUCUUGCCUCAGCCUCCUAGAAUACUAGAAUUACAAGUGUGUGU